This is a long non-coding RNA of Anarrhichthys ocellatus (wolf-eel), 9713 nucleotides long. RefSeq lists it as uncharacterized. NCBI's taxonomy places the organism in Eukaryota, Metazoa, Chordata, Actinopteri, Perciformes, Anarhichadidae. The transcript has 3 exons. The record is from RefSeq and is a predicted model, not a curated record.
ACACACACACACACACACACACACACACACACACACUGGUGAAGAGUAUUACUCACUCUGGCAUACCAUGCCCCCUCCAUGUCUCACAGGGCCUUGUUACUUGGAUCUCUGUGCUCGGUGCCCUGUGUGACAUGUCUUCCACUUGAAGAACCAGGCCAAUUGUCUGUGCAUGGAUAGGUGGCGGCGGAGGGUGUGUGUCUGUUUGGGCACACACAAAAAGCAUUUAGAGAGUGGAUGCAGGCAGCUGUUAACCCAGUUUUGGAGUAAUUCUGAACUCUCCAUGGUUCAGCACGGCAUAAUUGCCUGUGCAUGCGGUGUGAGUGGAAGAUGCAAGUCAUGGAUCACUGAUCACUUACCAAGCCCUUCAAUUUACUGCUACUUCCUGCAAGAGCGCCUCCAUCUUCAAUGAAUUAUUAUUUUAUAAUCAUAUCGAUGUGUGUGGUGAGCUUGGGUAUCGAUUUGACCGUGGAUACAGCUGGCUUAUCAAAUGAUAGUUCACCGCUGUCUCAAAGUGUUAGUUGGAUAAAUCAAAAAUAACGGCAAGUGAGAUCAUAUCACUUCAUGAUAAUCAGAAUAAAGAGUCGCCAUAUUGCAUUUGAGGCUGCUUCUGUCCUCUAAUUAAAAGAUGCAGAGAGAAAAGGGGCCACCUCAGGAAAUUCAAAGUGCAAUGCUGCCAUCUGCUGGACAUAGUCCUCCCUGCAGCUCAGCUGACUCAAUCCCUGGCAAGGCAUGCUCGGAGGGGCCAUUAUGGUGAGAGGGUACAUCAUUCCGUCAUGAUAGAAAUCACACACAUCUUUUAUAAAUUGCCCCCCAGUUGAAAUCUUCUUGUCCAUCUGAAACCUAUAAUUGUGAUGAAUUGAGGUCUGUGCAUUGUCCUUUAAGGCUGCGCACUGCCAUUAGAUGACCUGCUGCUCUUACUUACAGUACUUACACUUCCAGCGGCUCACAAUUAAGCACUAGUUUUUUAUUCCUUUGUAUUCUGUGAAUGACAGACCAAGCACAGAGAGAAUAGAUGAUAAAGGAUAUGCUUUGAUAUGUUACCGUAUAUUCAAUUAUUAACAGAGCUAUUAUAGAUGGAAAUUUGUUUCCACAGCAAGUGAAACACGCCAUUUGUCUUUGUAUAUUUGGGAAUACGGGGCUACAAAUGAUUUGAUUUUGUUGGGGCAAAUGUUUUCUUAUCAGUGCAUGAAUGUGACACUUUUUUGGGGGGGUAGAGUCUUGUCUUGUAAAAUAUGCACUUGGAAGUUCUGAACUGGAUUUUUUUGAGCUUUUUUUGAGCAGAGCUUCAAUAUUUAGUAACACUUAAAUCCAGAGAAGGAAUGAGGAACUCACACUGGUGAACCAGCAGGUAGUGUGAUUGCUUUUGUUAGAUAUGAAAUGCCUUUUGAUUUUAAGUUGAACCAGCUGAUUCGGCCUUAUCUUGCUGACGGAUCAAGAGCAGAGAGGACACAGGAGCACAUUGCAAUCGCCGCACGAUCCGCCAAUCACAUCACUGUAGGACCUAGCCAGUGCUAGCCAAUCACAGCACAGCAGGGCGGGACUAUGGGAACACGUGUGGAUCUGUUUGGAAACGGCCAUGACGGUGACGCGAGUUGCGGCCAAGCAUAGUUUGUUUGUUUACAUAAUAUGUAGAUUAUUGUUAUCGAAGAGACUUUCAAUGUAAUAUUUGCACGAGUCGACACUAUGUUGGAGGUCUUUACAUUCCGUCUGUAUGUAUUUGAGCCGGACUUCAGUUUCCAGGACUUCUCCAGCCAGGUCCAAGGGAAGGUAAGGAAAACGUUUUAUUUCUCUGUGGGGUCCUUUCCAUUAUUUUGUCAUAGACUGAGACUGUCGGUGGCAAAAACAAGUACUUUUAGUUCACGCUUUUAUUUUAUUGACGCUGUUAGCAGCUCCUCUCGCGCUGUUGGGUUUCAGGUUUAAUUGAUGUUUUAAUUAACUGGUGAGGUCCAGGUGUGUGAGACAGAUGCAUCGGACCCAUUGUAGACUAAGCCGGAAAUGAACAUUUUGAUCUCUUCGCCUCUAUUGUCACAUUUAUUUGUGGAUAUAUCUUUUGAAAGAUGACAUGGGGGAACAUUUUACAGGGAGCUUUAUAACAGGUGUGUGAGGCCGUGGAGGCUGACAGGGAGGACCAGGUGAUGAGAAAGUAGGUGGUCGGUGCGAUGCCUGUUCAAAACGUUAGAGGAUAAGGCCCCAAAUAAUGUUGCUAGGUUGAUUAAUGUUGUUGUCGCCAUCUAUGACAAUAGCCGCUCUUCUGGAGAUAAUGUUGCGAAAAAUAUUUAAAAUUCCUCACAUUGACCGGAAGAUAUUUGGUCCAGCAUGUCAUUGACGGGGGCAGGAUGGAGCAGCUUUGAGCGACUGGGGCUUUAGUAAAUAUUAUUAGUAUUGUUUUUUGUCUGAUUACUCUUUAUUUGCAUGCAUGUAAUAGCUGGAAUUAUUUAUUCAUUUUUUUCUCUAUGAUUUCACCCGAAAGUGCCAUGCUCAUUUUGCGCUAAAAUUCUUAAUAAAAUGAGAACAUAUUUUGUCAAGUAUUUAAUACACACAGGGGUAUACAGAAAUAGGUUUCCCUAUGUGAUGAAUUCAUAUAGACUUUAUUUAUCGACUUGCCAGGAAAAAUGUGCUAUAUGGUGAUAUGAAACUUCCAAAAAGCAUGUUGUGUGCAUUACACUUUUUGUAAACAUGUAAACUUUGUCAUUCCUUUUUUGACGGUUAUUAUAAUAGUUUGGAAGCUCGGCCUGUUAGCUUUGGGUUGGUGACACUUGCACAUGUUAAAUGUGCACGUUCGGCACCUGUUGUUAGUUUAUCAUGUAUUAUUAGAGGGUGUUCAUUUGUGCCAGUGUAAGUGGGAAGUGUGUGUUUGCUUUACAUACAGUUUUCUGCAGCCCACUGGCUAUGUUGUUAGUGAUAAGAGAUCCUGCACCAAAAGGAAACUGCAGUAAUCUGAGACAAGCUUAGCCGGUGUUAGACUCAGUGUCUGAGAGGAAGAAAAUAAAAAAACGUGUUAAUGCAAAUGCUUGGAAGGUUUUGGUGCUCAAAGCUUAAAUGUCUAUUGCUGCCUUGAAAGGCUGCCUCCGGAGGAAAGAAAAGCCCCGAGAGAACAAGCUCACAAGCUGUACUCGGCUCAUUGUCAUAAGCAGCAGAAUUAUGAAGUUGGUAACUUUUAGACUUUGAUACCUGACAAUGGAGAAAUUGUUACCUUUAGAGAAGAUUGAAAAGCUUCCAGUGAAUAAGUCUUAGAAAUGUCAAGUGGUCACCGUGAUGAAAAUGCUGCAAUGACUCUGUAUGCUGUACAUACAAAGUGUCACUACAAUCUAUAUAAUUAAUAUAAUAUUGGUGCUCUCCUGUUUCAUACCAGUGUAAAUGGAAUCUCUUUGUGUUUUGGACUUAAUGGCGUUUUAAAGACGCUUCUUUAAUCUCUGGGAAAGUGUUUUGUGGGGCUUUAAUUGACAGCUAAAUUGAUAACGGCUGUUAGUUGCAGCCCUUUAAAUAUACUGUUUAGUUCAUCGUAACAGUUUUAGCUGUCACAUAUCAAAAAGCAUUUUUAGGUUGUGGAAAAAGUGUAUGAACGUCACUACAAUCACUGUAGAAGCAGAGACAGUGGUGAUGCGGUUCACCUCCAGUAUUAUAACUUUAAAUUACACAGAACACGUCUUCAAGUUGAGACAAAGAUGGGAAAUCGGCGUGCAUCAUGGGAGGUGAUUCAGCACGAAAUGCUAAUUCACAUUAUGAACACACAGCGAGCCGUUGCCUCAGGAGGGACGAUCUGCAGCAUGAUUUCACAUGGUUUAAUCUCGGCUGGUAUUUCCCAGGUAACAGCCUCCCCCGACACCUGGGAGCAGGAGGAAGAGGAGCAGCAGCAGCUCAGCGCCGGCUCCUGGCGGUAUUAAUGAAACGAGGCGGCGAGCGACUCCUCGCUGAGCGACGACGUACUUACUGAAGCCGUGAGGACAGAGAGAUGGAGCCCAUGCAGCACGUCUAGCAGCUGUUUAAUUGACACACGUAACUUUUUUGUAGGUGUUGGACUGGCGAUGAAGAGCGUGUAUGUCUGAAUAUGUGUACUACAGUUAGAAAUGACUUUAGAGGUGUGGAAAUCUGACAUCAAGGAACUGCCUGUGUGCAAAGUGUUAACGGGGUUAUACGUUUGAUUUUACAGCCAAUGUACCUGCAGGAGCUUCAGAGCAUGUUUAUUAUUACCAAUAAACAAUUACUAGCUUCUCAAAUUGAAGAAGAAAAAAAGACACUUUCUAUUCUUUUUCAUGUAUGAUGUAUGUGUAUAUAUAUACAUGCAUAGUUAUUAAUGCUUUUCACAUGCUUAUCUGUUUCAGAAGGGGAUUGUUUCCGCCAGUCAAACUGAUCAAUGAAAACACUGGAUGAGCCCCUUGAGAACCACAGAGAGGCAUAUCGAAUGCUGCUCAGCUGCCUCCAAGACAAGAUGACGCUGGACGAGCUCAGAGCAAAUAAUGAAACUUGAUAAUGUCGUGAUAUUUUAAUUAUUGUUUCAGUAAGUAUGGUAUGCGUUAUGGUCCGGCUCUAGAACCAUAGCAAAAUGUCACGGAAACUCAGGCACGGAGCUAAACAAAGAAAUACCUUUAUUAACAAAAGGCCAGGACAUUUCAAAGUGCAACACAGAAGAGCAUUCUCACAGAAUACCAGACGGUUUAACUGCUGCUGCCAGACACUCCGUGUAGCACACCAGGUGUGUCAGGGGAAGAAGCCAGCACUUCGUCUGGAUGGGGCGGGUCUUGUAGGUCGAAGGCUGUGGCCAGCUGCCUCCAAUCUUCCUAAUGUCCCUCUCUAACAAUCCAGGAACACUGAAAGAUAGACACUCCCUGCCAGAGGCCCUGGGCCAUCACACACCCCCCCCAUAAAGACAGGGUCCCCACAGGAACCUGGACAUCAACCAUGCCCACAACUCUACAUCACAAAAAACCCUGCAUAUACAUUAUACUUCAACCCAAUCACCUCAACAGUUGCUCAACAUUCCUUCAGCUAUUUCCUCAUAUCCCAUCUCAGCUACUGGUACCUUGAAGCAAUCUUUAAGAGAGACAGACAAAGUUGAAAGAAACAUGAUGCACAAUUACUGACAUGGGGCCCUGGACAAUGCAUCAGCAACAAUAUUGUCCUUCCCUUUAAUGCGACUCAUCUCUAGAGAGUAUGCCUGAACUGAAAACACGUCGUGCUGUUCGACGGUCAUACAAACGUUUCAUUCCAUCUUGCCUCAGCCAACGUCGACCUUGCCAAUUCCCCAGCUGAGUCAAGUCUAAUCCGGAACCCAUUUGACAUAAUGAACCAGAUUGUUUGUUGGUUCUCUCCAAUCUUCUUGCAAGGCAGCCAGCUUAUGUGUUAGCUGACAGGUAUGGCAGGUCUUGAUGUAGGUCGCCACGUCUCUUAACAUGGGGCCAAAAGAAAUGCCUAAAAACGCAAUCGCAUGUUUUUCCUACCCCCAUAUGCCCUGACUCAUGUGAAACACGCAAGACCAAAUCGCGGAAUUUCAACAGCACGACGAUUUGAUAAACCGAAUCUCCAAUGAGACGCUCGCUACGUGGCACGGGUUUUCUGACUAAUACCUCGUUUUGAAUGAAGUACCCGUGCGCACGAUUUGCUGGAAGAACAGACUGGAACAGCUCACUUAGCGUGGAAUCAGCUUUUUGCUCGCUCGCCAACACUCUGUGAGACAGACAAUGGAGUGUUAGACAGUGAUAAUACACACUUCUGUGGGGUCAUUUAUUUUCGCAUUCUCCAAUUCCACCUCUGCUUCCCCCUCGUGACCGGCCGCCGUCAUGGCGCGCGUCACGGCGCAAGCCUGGAAUACAUCAGGAUACCGCUUCUCAUUUUCAUCAGGGCCUUUACUACCCAGCGGUACCGGGACAAGUACCGAUUGAGCUGGAUCAUCAGCCCAGAUACGUGCCCCAGCCCCAAAUGAGUACAUUUUAGGUCUUAAAUCUUUUAAGAUUUAUGCUUAAUAUGCGUUUUGUAAAUUAGCGCUAUGUGUCUGCUUUCACAACUUGAAACAGCAAACGCUGUGAGUUUAAGAACUUUUUAUAAUCAACAGAAAAUAAAUAAUCAACAGCAGCUAAUCAACAAAAAGCAACACAGCUCAGACAGUCCACCAUGCUGACAUAAUGUAUAGGUAGAGCAGGGCGCACCCCCAUUAUAACUUCUCCCUCAAUUAAGUCAGAGUGGAGCACAAGUUUAUGCACUGGUACAUGAACAGACAUGCCCAUCCCUAAAACAGGUAUAAAUGAACCUGUGUCAGUUUCCGCAGAAAAAAGCAGAGCUGACGCCAGGAUAAAUUAAUCCAAUGCUCCAGUGUCACGUAAUAUAGUUACUGGCACCUUCCUGUCAGUACUCACCAGAGACGCAUGUCCUUUUGUGAUAAAAGGCAAAUAUGAAGUUAAAUCGGGCUUUUCCGUGAGAGAUGUCAGAUCACUCAAAUUGUCCGAAAUGACCAACCUGGAAACUGGCGCAGCCAGAGCGGCUGGUUUCACCUGCGCUCCAUUAUACCCGUUCUGAGACUUGCGCAAAGCGCAGUCUCUUUUCCAGUGACCUACUUCAUGGCAGAAAUGACAACUGUCGUCAGAGGUACGGACACCACGGUCAGCUCUCUGUUCAGAACGAAAAUUUCCACCAGAACGGCCAGAGAAAUACCGGGCAGGAACACUUUCCCUACCAGCAAAGCCAUAAGCGCGUGGAUCCCCGCCGCUACUUCUGUGGGUUAAAACAUAAUCAUCUGCCAACGCAGCAGCCUCACCUGCAGUCUUCACUUUGUGCUCACUGAUGUACAUCGCAAUUCCCUCUGGGACCGUGCUUUUAAACUGUUCAAGCACCAUCAGGUUAUACAGAUCAUCAAAAUCGUUCACAUCCGACGCAGAAUUAUUGCUGCUGCUGCUGCGUGUAGCACACCAGGUGUGUCAGGGGAAGAAGCCAGCACUUCCUCCGGAUGGGGCGGGUCUUGUAGGUCGAAGGCCGUGGCCAGCUGCCUCCAAUCUUCCUGAUGUCCCUCUCUAACGAUCCAGGAACACUGAAAGAUAGACACUCCCUGCCAGAGGCCCUGGGCGUCACAUAUGCCAUAAAACAGCAUAAUAUACAAUGUCAUGAAGAAGUCAUUGUAUGAAAUAAAAAUGUGGUAGUACAGUGAACCAUAAAUUAAAAAUACAAUGAAGUAUAAACAAUAGUAUCAUUGUAUAGUAUGGCACAUAUCAAAACCUGUCUCAAAAGGUGCGACAAUUUGGAAGACCAGACAAGUUGGCUGUUAAGAAAAGUAAUUUUUGACAAAAGCAAAACAAAUGCAACUUGAAGGAACCAGCUGAUUAGUAGUGAAGUGCAUGGAUGGGUGUGUGUCAAAAUACAUUUAUUUUUACAAUCAGUCAUAGUGUAAUAUAUUGAAAAAAGUCAUUAGAUUAUGUCGAAAAAUGAUUGGUUGAAAGGCUGGAACAUCCAAUCACAAAGUCAAAUAUGUGUAGGGACCAGUUGCUGGUAUCAGGACAGAUGGGUUAGGGUGAUAGAAGACUGGUUACGAGACAGGAGGUUGUAGGUUCUAUCCUUAUAGAGUGCAAAUACGCAGAGACCAAGACACGAUUUAAGUGUAUGGAGUCGAAUAGCUCAGUCGGGCUGGAAACUGAGCGAUUGUGGGAUCGAACCGUAAAAGGUGUGACUGCUUUUGAGGUUUGACAGGCCAUCACAGUCAAAUACGUUCCGAGAAGAGUUCCAAAUGCGAAAGGGGCUGGUGGCGUAGUAGUGGUAUUCUCAGACAAAUCUCCUACUGUCUGCAACAGACUGUUGUGGGUUCGAAUCCCGCACGUUGCCAAGUGUCUAGUGCUCUGCCGGGGAGGUGGUGGUGGGGGCAUUGUCCCCACCGAAGUUUCGGAGAUAUGUAACCAGGGGGUUAUGGGAAAAUGGAUGAUGACCAGCUGAAAAUUAAGUGAGAAGGGGCAUGUCUUCUCUUGAUGAUUCGAAUAAUUGAAUUGCAUUAAGACAGUUUUGCUUGAUAGUUGGCUAUAGUCUUAUAUAUAGCCUUGCGCUUGCAGUUUUUUAUCAUCUUUUUUAUUUCAGGAGUGUAAAAUAAUCAGCACUCACCAUAUCCACGAUGUCCUUAAUUUAUGCUGUACCAUCAUUGAUCACCUCUGGAAAAAGUUUAAGCAAAACAAUAACGGGAACCAAAGGUCUUGAUAUUUGGAUAUUUAUAUGAAUUAAAUAAUGUCUAGUUUGAAUAUAAAGAAGCAAUAAUACAAGAUAUUAAAUCGAAAAUGUGUUGCCAAUGCAAACAUUCAUUAUAAACGGAGUGCUUUUUAGUGUUUUUCUCUUUUUUAUUUUCAAUCCUACAAAUUUCAUCCUGAACUAUAAUGAUCAGGGUCUUUUUUUUAUGCGUUGGGACGUACAAUAGUACAUCUUGUUAGUUUUAAACACUUAACAUUUUAAGACCGUGAACUCAUAAAUGCAAUGCACUGCAGUAUGUCCGAAAUGCCUGCAGGUUGGACAGUCUGAAGCCGUUCACUCCAACACUGAGAUCACACAAAAUAAACACGGUCACAGUUUGUGUUUGAGGCAUUUAAUAAGAACAGACACAUGUGGAGAAAUAUAUGUCAUCAAUAUUCAGAGUACAGUGCCAAGUAUGAAUUAUAGAUGUAAUAUCCAAUGAGGCCACAGGAUGGCAGCAAACAUCAACCUUUAAAUCACAACAGUGGCUUCAUGUUGUGUCAUGUACAAAUAACAUCAUUUUCUUUACCGUUAUUCAUCAGGAACCGAGUUUUCAGAUCAUGUCCCACCAUCCCAACAAGCUGCAGGAGACAGAAGUAGAACAUGAUGUUAAAAUAGAUUUUGAGCUUUAGAGAUGAAAGGGUUGGUUCACAGUUUGUUGUAAAACAGUAGUUCACUGAAACAGGCUGUAACAUUCCUUCUGUUCAUAUAACAACAUAUAUAAUAGUUAUGUCACUGCCAUGUUGUAUACUUUUUAAAAGACACUACACAAAUGUUUUAUAUCAUUAUAUAAAUGAUAAAAGCCCAAGCAGCUCACAUACAAUCCAUGAACUGAUAUUAUAAUAUUUUUUGGGGGAUUCCUCAGAUGCAAUAAGCAGCAAGGGUCAGGACUAUAUUUUGAGGGAGUUCCUCAAGCAAUGUUCUUAGGUCCCUUUAAAUAUGUCAGUGAUUGUGUGAAUGCAGGAGGUUUGACAGAGUGUCUGUUUGACGGAUGAAUCUGGCAUCUGAGUAUGGAGGCUGCACCUCCUUACUGUGAGACGUCUAGACCUUCAGCGUUUGCUUUUCUCACGCUGUCAAGAUUGAUUAUGAGACAUUUCCCAAACCACUGGCUGACUCUGAAAUGAAGUUCUUACAGUCACUAUUAAUGAAUGUUUAUAAUCUUAAUCUAUUUUCAAAGCAUGAGGAAAAACAAUAUUUUGUCUCUUACACAGACUAUUUCUAUUAUUUCAGGUUCCAACACAGCUUGAUGGAAAAUAUCACCUGGCUGUGAGGAAGAGAUGUAGAAUGAGGAAGAAGAAGAAGAUGGAGUACAAUAAAACUCUGCACUGUUAGGCAUCACCACGGUACUGACCAUGACCACCCUGAGCACGGUGGCCAGGAACUCGCUACCUAGAGUGUCCUACGUGACGGCCAUGGACUUGUUUGUCACCGUCUGCUUCCUGUUCGUCUUCGCUGCCAUGAUCGAGUACGCCAUGCUCAACUACUACUCCUACAGCAUACGCAGACCUCCUGCCAAGAUG